RNAcentral lists this ribosomal RNA (355 nucleotides) under uncultured Pseudomonas sp. RNAcentral describes it as "bacterial SSU rRNA". It matches the Rfam family "Bacterial small subunit ribosomal RNA", at positions 1029 to 1382 of the family's 1533-position model. The record is from RNAcentral. Lineage: Bacteria; Pseudomonadati; Pseudomonadota; Gammaproteobacteria; Pseudomonadales; Pseudomonadaceae.
CUGACACAGGUGGCUGCAUGGCUGUCGUCAGCUCGUGUCGUGAGAUGUUGGGUUAAGUCCGUAACGAGCGCAACCCUUGUCCUUAGUUACCAGCACGUUAUGGUGGGCACUCUAAGGAGACUGCCGGUGACAAACCGGAGGAAGGUAGGGAUGACGUCAAGUCAUCAUGGCCCUUACGGCCUGGGCUACACACGUGCUACAAUGGUCGGUACAAAGGGUUGCCAAGCCGCGAGGUGGAGCUAAUCCCAUAAAACCGAAUCGUAGUCCGGAUCGCAGUCUGCAACUCGACUGCGUGAAGUCGGAAUCGCUAGUAAUCGUGAAUCAGAAUGUCACGGUGAAUACGUUCCCGGGCCUU